This 77-nucleotide transfer RNA is filed under the name Escherichia coli. Its description in RNAcentral is "tRNA-Val". It matches the Rfam family "tRNA". Rfam says of the family: Transfer RNA (tRNA) molecules are approximately 80 nucleotides in length. Their secondary structure includes four short double-helical elements and three loops (D, anti-codon, and T loops). Further hydrogen bonds mediate the characteristic L-shaped molecular structure. tRNAs have two regions of fundamental functional importance: the anti-codon, which is responsible for specific mRNA codon recognition, and the 3' end, to which the tRNAs corresponding amino acid is attached (by aminoacyl-tRNA synthetases). tRNAs cope with the degeneracy of the genetic code in two manners: having more than one tRNA (with a specific anti-codon) for a particular amino acid; and 'wobble' base-pairing, i.e. permitting non-standard base-pairing at the 3rd anti-codon position. Lineage: Bacteria; Pseudomonadati; Pseudomonadota; Gammaproteobacteria; Enterobacterales; Enterobacteriaceae. The record is from RNAcentral. RNAcentral also lists the same sequence under 1 other name.
GCGUCCGUAGCUCAGUUGGUUAGAGCACCACCUUGACAUGGUGGGUGUCGGUGGUUCGAGUCCACUCGGACGCACCA